GAUGAACGCUGGCGGCGUGCUUAACACAUGCAAGUCGAACGAAGCAUUUAAGACAGAUUACUUCGGUUUGAAGUCUUUUAUGACUGAGUGGCGGACGGGUGAGUAACGCGUGGGUAACCUGCCUCAUCCAGGGGGAUAGCAGCUGGAAACGGCUGGUAAUACCGCAUAAGCGCACAGUACCACAUGGUCCAGUGUGAAAAACUCCGGUGGUAUGAGAUGGACCCGCGUCUGAUUAGCUUGUUGGCGGGGUAACGGCCCACCAAGGCGACGAUCAGUAGCCGACCUGAGAGGGUGACCGGCCACAUUGGGACUGAGACACGGCCCAGACUCCUACGGGAGGCAGCAGUAGGGAAUAUUGCACAAUGGAGGAAACUCUGAUGCAGCGACGCCGCGUGAGUGAAGAAGUAGUUCGCUAUGUAAAGCUCUAUCAGCAGGGAAGAUAGUGACGGUACCUGACUAAGAAGCUCCGGCUAAAUACGUG
Molecule: ribosomal RNA, 481 nt
Filed under: uncultured bacterium
Lineage: Bacteria
Description: partial 16S ribosomal RNA
Rfam family: Bacterial small subunit ribosomal RNA
Source: RNAcentral